GAGGAAUAUUGGGCAAUGCCCGCAAGGGUGACCCAGCAACGCCGCGUGGAGGAUGAAUGUCGUAAGAUUGUAAACUCCUGUUAGAGGGGAAGAAUAGUACCGGUUGGACCGGUAUAUGACUGUACCCUCAGAGAAAGCCCCGGCUAACUACGUGCCAGCAGCCGCGGUAAUACGUAGGGGGCAAGCGUUGUCCGGAUUUACUGGGUGUAAAGGGCGCGCAGGCGGGAUAAAAAGUCAGUGGUGAAAUCCUACAGCUUAACUGUAGAACUGCCUUUGAUACUUUUACUCUUGAGUUCGGGAGAGAGAGACGGAAUUCCAGGUGUAGUGGUGAAAGACGUGGAUAUCUGGAAGAACACCAGUUGCGAAGGCGGUCUCUUGGUCCGACACUGACGCUGAGGCGCGAAAGCGUGGGGAGCAAACA
Molecule: ribosomal RNA, 421 nt
Filed under: uncultured bacterium
Lineage: Bacteria
Description: bacterial SSU rRNA
Rfam family: Bacterial small subunit ribosomal RNA
Source: RNAcentral